CGCUGCGGUGGCCAUCUUGUGGCGGGCUGCGGCAUGGCGGCCACCCCGUGCAGCGAGGCCCUGGCCCGUUCCCCUUUACCUCGGGGUGACGAAGUCUGUCUGAGGCCUUUCAGCACCGACUCUUAACGCUUUGCUAAGACAGGGGCAGAAAGGUUUUUAUCUCCCAUUGGAGUCACCCAGAGCCCAAUCAUGGAGUUAGUCUUACAAGGAAUAAUCUUUCUUCAGAGCUGAGGUAUGGUGAAGUUUACAUAGCAGAAUUAGAAGACCUACCCAACUUGUGAAUGUGUCAUUAAAUCCAACUUUAGUCUACCAUCUUCCUAAAUUCUGUUCAUUUCUCAAUUGAAGUUAUCUACUUCCUACACGUGAUUUUUGUACUUCUGUGACAUAAGCACUAACAUCAGGAAACAAUUUCUUGCUGUGAGGGUGACCUAGCACUGAAACAGGUUAUCCAGAGGCUAUAGAGUCUCCUCCUUGGAGAUACUCAGAAAUCAGGAAAAUCAGAACCUUCCCCUCCUCUUUAUCUAGUGAGGAUGUAUCAAGCUGUAGCUCAAUAUGUAGUAUGAACAUGGACCUGGUUCAGAGAAAGAUGUUCGGGAUGGCCCUGUUUGAGCAGGGGUUGGAUCUCCAGAUGAUCUGACCUGCAGAGGUCCCUACCAGUCAAACCCAUACUGUGAUUUUGUGACAUACUUUGGGGAUCAAAAACACCACAUUGUAACCUCUGGUUCUGCUUUCUUUAUUGGCAAGCAAGGGAGUCCCUGAUUCGUCUCUCAUUCCUCUUUUAUUUUGAACAAUUGUUGUUAAACUUACUGAAGGUUAGGACCUCUCCUGUGAAUUGAGAGACUGGGGAGGAAUCAAUUCUUGAGGGUGAGAAAAUUAAACCUGGACUUUCACUAUCUUAGUGCUUAUGUCAUGAAGCUGCUGUAGAACAAAUAGCACUACAGUUCUAGGAAAGCUAUGACUUUCAUAACUUUUUUGACUUGAUCAGUAGGUGAUGGCUUCAAAGCAGAAUGCUAACACCUAAUUCUGGAUUGCGGGCAGGCAAACUAAUACUAAGCUGUUAAAGCUCUGUCAAGAUGUAAGUGCUUUGGGGUAGAAGUCUAAUGAAUUUUACAUGUUUAAAAUCUUAAGAUAGAAACCAAAGGUACUGUUGACAUUUAGGUGGUUAGCACACCAGAGGAGGCUUGCAAACUUCUUCUGUUGUGCGCUUGACACAGUGUACUCUGAUGUAGAACAAGAUGACAUUUUCAAAGAGAAGGAAACUGGAUUGGUCCAAAGUAAUUCUGUGGAUGUUUACACUCUUCUUGGCCAAAAGGGGAACUUAAAAGAUGUUUGGGAAUCUUCUCAUCUCCCUGCUGUCAAACAUUACUUUAUUUACUUAACAAAAAACUGAUAUAUGUGCCAAGAGUCACGGCUCAUUUUGUAAGGGUAGAUUCCUUAAAGACUGAACCUAAUACAUGUCAAGAUUCAGAAGAACAAAAAGGUGCUACUGACAAUUAAAAAAAAAAAAAAAAAAGCAAGACAGAUUUUUCCAUUAGAAGCUGAAGUUUUAUUACAGGAUAACAGUACAUAAAGCACAUCUAAAAUCGAUGUGUUCAAUGCACUUAAUAAAGGUAAUGUAAUAUUAAAGGUACAGUUUCUAAGUACAAUAUAACAACAUUCAUAUUAGAAUGAAAAUUGGAGUAUUUAAAAGACAACAUUAAAUCUCUUAUUUUUACAGUCAUAUUUACAAAAUGAAUCAAAAUACUUUUUUAUCGGGACUGAGUAAAAUAACAAACUGGAAUAUAAGCAGGCUAUCAUAAGAGUGAGUUGGAAAGGUCCAUGAAAGUGAAAAGUUAAGUGACUGGGUAAAGAUCAUUAGCAAAGGUUUAGUACAAUACCACUUUAGUAUUCCUCUUGAUGGCU
Phasianus colchicus (ring-necked pheasant) is the source of this 1902-nucleotide long non-coding RNA. RefSeq lists it as uncharacterized. The record is from RefSeq and is a predicted model, not a curated record. Lineage: Eukaryota; Metazoa; Chordata; Aves; Galliformes; Phasianidae.